This 712-nucleotide ribosomal RNA is filed under the name Dinoponera gigantea. Its description in RNAcentral is "SSU rRNA". It matches the Rfam family "Eukaryotic small subunit ribosomal RNA", at positions 50 to 732 of the family's 1831-position model. Lineage: Eukaryota; Metazoa; Arthropoda; Insecta; Hymenoptera; Formicidae. The record is from RNAcentral.
CAUGCAUGUCUCAGUGCAUGCCGAAUUAAGGUGAAACCGCGAAUGGCUCAUUAAAUCAGUUAUGGUUCAUUAGAUUGUACCAACAUUUACUUGGAUAACUGUGGUAAUUCUAGAGCUAAUACAUGCAAAACAGAGUCCCGACCAGCGAUGGAAGGGACGCAUUUAUUAGAUCAAAACCAAUCGGUGGCGGGUGGGCAACCAUCCGUCCGCCGUUUAUUUUGGUGACUCUGAAUAACUUUGUGCUGAUCGCACGGUCUAAGCACCGGCGACGCAUCUUUCAAAUGUCUGCCUUAUCAACUGUCGAUGGUAGGUUCUGCGCCUACCAUGGUUGUAACGGGUAACGGGGAAUCAGGGUUCGAUUCCGGAGAGGGAGCCUGAGAAACGGCUACCACAUCCAAGGAAGGCAGCAGGCGCGCAAAUUACCCACUCCCAGCACGGGGAGGUAGUGACGAAAAAUAACGAUACGGGACUCAUCCGAGGCCCCGUAAUCGGAAUGAGUACACUUUAAAUCCUUUAACGAGGAUCAAUUGGAGGGCAAGUCUGGUGCCAGCAGCCGCGGUAAUUCCAGCUCCAAUAGCGUAUAUUAAAGUUGUUGCGGUUAAAAAGCUCGUAGUUGAAUCUGUGUCGCACACUGUCGGUUCACCGCUCGCGGUGUUUAACUGGCAUGAUGUGGGACGUCCUACCGGUGGGCUCAGCCUCUUCGGGGGCGGCC